This 497-nucleotide ribosomal RNA is filed under the name uncultured bacterium. Its description in RNAcentral is "partial 16S ribosomal RNA". It matches the Rfam family "Bacterial small subunit ribosomal RNA", at positions 28 to 507 of the family's 1533-position model. The record is from RNAcentral.
GAUGAACGCUGGCGGCGUGCCUAAUACAUGCAAGUCGAGCGAACAGACGAGGAGCUUGCUCCUCUGAUGUUAGCGGCGGACGGGUGAGUAACACGUGGAUAACCCACCUAUAAGACUGGGAUAACUUCGGGAAACCGGAGCUAAUACCGGAUAACAUGUUGAACCGCAUGGUUCAACAGUGAAAGACGGUCUUGCUGUCACUUAUAGAUGGAUCCGCGCCGCAUUAGCUAGUUGGUAAGGUAACGGCUUACCAAGGCAACGAUGCGUAGCCGACCUGAGAGGGUGAUCGGCCACACUGGAACUGAGACACGGUCCAGACUCCUACGGGAGGCAGCAGUAGGGAAUCUUCCGCAAUGGGCGAAAGCCUGACGGAGCAACGCCGCGUGAGUGAAGAAGGUCUUCGGAUCGUAAAACUCUGUUAUUAGGGAAGAACAAAUGUGUAAGUAACUAUGCACGUCUUGACGGUACCUAAUCAGAAAGCCACGGCUAACUACGUG